Molecule: ribosomal RNA, 356 nt
Filed under: uncultured Variovorax sp.
Lineage: Bacteria; Pseudomonadati; Pseudomonadota; Betaproteobacteria; Burkholderiales; Comamonadaceae
Description: bacterial SSU rRNA
Rfam family: Bacterial small subunit ribosomal RNA
Source: RNAcentral
ACAGCAGUGGGGAAUUUUGGACAAUGGGCGCAAGCCUGAUCCAGCCAUGCCGCGUGCAGGAAGAAGGCUUUCGGGUUGAAAACUGCUUUUGUACGGAACGAAGCGUCCUUUUUUAAUUAAGAGGUAUAAUGACGGUACUGUAAGAAUAAGCACCGGAUAACUACGUCCCCGCAGCCGGGGUAAUACGGAGGGCGCAAGCGUUAAUCGGAAUUACUGGGCGUAAAGCGUGCGCAGGCGGUGAUAUAAGUCAGAUGAGAAAUCCCCGGUCUCAACGGGGGAACUGCAUGAGAGACUGCAUUGAUGGUGUACGGCAGAGGGGGAUGGAAUUCGGCGUGUAGCAGUGAAAUGCGUAGAUA